GACGAACGCUGGCGGCAUGCCUAAUACAUGCAAGUCGAGCGGACAGAAGGGAGCUUGCUCCUGGAAGUCAGCGGCGGACGGGUGAGUAACACGUGGGCAACCUGCCCUUUAGAUUGGGAUAACUUCGGGAAACCGAAGCUAAUACCGAAUAAUACAAGGAACCUCCUGGUUCUCUGUUGAAAGAUGGCCUUUGUGCUAUCACUAAAGGAUGGGCCCGCGGCGCAUUAGCUAGUUGGUAAGGUAACGGCUUACCAAGGCGACGAUGCGUAGCCGACCUGAGAGGGUGAUCGGCCACACUGGGACUGAGACACGGCCCAGACUCCUACGGGAGGCAGCAGUAGGGAAUCUUCCGCAAUGGACGAAAGUCUGACGGAGCAAUGCCGCGUGAGUGAGGAAGGCCUUCGGGUCGUAAAGCUCUGUUGUGAGGGAAGAACAAGUACCGGCGUAACUACCGGUACCGUGACGGUACCUCACCAGAAAGCCACGGCUAACUACGUGCCAGCCGCCGCGGUAA
RNAcentral lists this ribosomal RNA (514 nucleotides) under uncultured bacterium. RNAcentral's name for it is "partial 16S ribosomal RNA". It matches the Rfam family "Bacterial small subunit ribosomal RNA", at positions 28 to 523 of the family's 1533-position model. The record is from RNAcentral.